CCCAGAGGUUUUGUUUCUUAUCUUUGUCUGUUAUAUCAGAUCAUGGACCCCCAGAGGUUUUGUUUCUUAUCUUUGUCUGUUCUAACUGACUGUCGACCCCCAGAGGUUUCAUUUCUUAUCGUUGUCUAUUCUAUCUGACCGUGGACCACCAGAGGUUUCCUUUCUUAUCGUUGUCUAUUCUAUCUGACCGUGGACCACCAGAGGUUUCCUUUCUUAUCGUUGUCUGUUAUAUCAGGUCAUGGACCCCCCAGAGGUUUCCUUUCUUAUCGUUGUCUAUUCUAUCUGACCGUGGACCACCAGAGGUUUCCUUUCUUAUCGUUGUCUAUUCUAUCUGACCGUGGACCACCAGAGGUUUCCUUUCUUAUCGUUGUCUGUUAUAUCAGAUCAUGGAGCCCCCCGGAGGUUUCUUU
Long non-coding RNA from Erpetoichthys calabaricus (reedfish), 410 nucleotides. RefSeq lists it as uncharacterized. The record is from RefSeq and is a predicted model, not a curated record. The transcript has 4 exons. Lineage: Eukaryota; Metazoa; Chordata; Cladistia; Polypteriformes; Polypteridae.